UACGUAGGAUGCAAGCGUUGUCCGGAUUUACUGGGCGUAAAGCGCGCGCAGGCGGCAGUGUAAGUAAGGUGUGAAAUCUCCCUGCUCAACGGGGAGGGUGCACUUUAGACUACACAGCUAGAGGUCGGUAGAGGGGGGUGGAAUUGCUGGUGUAGCGGUGAAAUGCGUAGAGAUGCGGAGGAACACCGAUGGCGAAGGCAGCCCCCUGGGCUAACACUGACGCUCAGGCACGAAAGCGUGGGGAGCAAACAGG
This 253-nucleotide ribosomal RNA is filed under the name uncultured bacterium. RNAcentral's name for it is "partial 16S ribosomal RNA". It matches the Rfam family "Bacterial small subunit ribosomal RNA", at positions 524 to 776 of the family's 1533-position model. The record is from RNAcentral.